UACGGAGGGUGCGAGCGUUAUCCGGAAUUACUGGGUUUAAAGGGUGCGUAGGCGGCUUGGUAAGUCAGGAGUGAAAGUUUGCGGCUCAACCGUAAAAUUGCUUUUGAUACUGCCAGGCUAGAAUCAGGAUGAGGUCAGCGGAAUGUGGCAUGUAGCGGUGAAAUGCAUAGAUAUGCCAUAGAACACCCAUUGCGAAGGCAGCUGGCUAGACCUGGAUUGACGCUGAGGCACGAAAGCGUGGGGAGCGAACAGG
Molecule: ribosomal RNA, 253 nt
Filed under: uncultured bacterium
Lineage: Bacteria
Also listed under: 1 other name
Description: partial 16S ribosomal RNA
Rfam family: Bacterial small subunit ribosomal RNA
Source: RNAcentral